RNAcentral lists this ribosomal RNA (631 nucleotides) under Escherichia coli. Its description in RNAcentral is "partial 23S ribosomal RNA". It matches the Rfam family "Bacterial large subunit ribosomal RNA", at positions 1291 to 1905 of the family's 2925-position model. Lineage: Bacteria; Pseudomonadati; Pseudomonadota; Gammaproteobacteria; Enterobacterales; Enterobacteriaceae. The record is from RNAcentral.
CGAAUGCUGACAUAAGUAACGAUAAAGCGGGUGAAAAGCCCGCUCGCCGGAAGACCAAGGGUUCCUGUCCAACGUUAAUCGGGGCAGGGUGAGUCGACCCCUAAGGCGAGGCCGAAAGGCGUAGUCGAUGGGAAACAGGUUAAUAUUCCUGUACUUGGUGUUACUGCGAAGGGGGGACGGAGAAGGCUAUGUUGGCCGGGCGACGGUUGUCCCGGUUUAAGCGUGUAGGCUGGUUUUCCAGGCAAAUCCGGAAAAUCAAGGCUGAGGCGUGAUGACGAGGCACUACGGUGCUGAAGCAACAAAUGCCCUGCUUCCAGGAAAAGCCUCUAAGCAUCAGGUAACAUCAAAUCGUACCCCAAACCGACACAGGUGGUCAGGUAGAGAAUACCAAGGCGCUUGAGAGAACUCGGGUGAAGGAACUAGGCAAAAUGGUGCCGUAACUUCGGGAGAAGGCACGCUGAUACGUAGGUGAAGCGACUUGCUCGUGGAGCUGAAAUCAGUCGAAGAUACCAGCUGGCUGCAACUGUUUAUUAAAAACACAGCACUGUGCAAACACGAAAGUGGACGUAUACGGUGUGACGCCUGCCCGGUGCCGGAAGGUUAAUUGAUGGGGUUAGCGGUAACGCGAAGC